AUACUUACCUAGAAGAGGAGAUACCAUGAUCAUGAAGUAGUUUUCUCAGGGUGAUGCUCAUCCAGUGUACUCUGGAUGAUGUGCUAACCCCUGCAAUUUCCCCAAAUGUGGGAAAUUCAACUCUAUAAUUUGUGCUGGUGAUGAACUGUAUACAUGCUCUUCCCUG
Small nuclear RNA from Nannospalax galili (Upper Galilee mountains blind mole rat), 166 nucleotides. Its record names the gene U1. It matches the Rfam family "U1 spliceosomal RNA". From Rfam's summary of the family: U1 is a small nuclear RNA (snRNA) component of the spliceosome (involved in pre-mRNA splicing). Its 5' end forms complementary base pairs with the 5' splice junction, thus defining the 5' donor site of an intron. The record is from Ensembl. Lineage: Eukaryota; Metazoa; Chordata; Mammalia; Rodentia; Spalacidae.